This 259-nucleotide ribosomal RNA is filed under the name uncultured bacterium. Its description in RNAcentral is "partial 16S ribosomal RNA". It matches the Rfam family "Bacterial small subunit ribosomal RNA", at positions 524 to 776 of the family's 1533-position model. The record is from RNAcentral.
UACGUAGGGUGCAAGCGUUAAUCGGAAUUACUGGGCGUAAAGCGUGCGCAGGCGGUUUUGUAAGACAGAGGUGAAAUCCCCCGGGGCUCAACCUGGGGAACUGCCUUUGUGACUGCAAGGCUUUGAGUGCGGCAGAGGGGGGAUGGAAUUCCGCGUGUAGCAGUGGAAAUGCGUAGAUAUGCGGAGGAACACCGAUGGCGAAGGCAAUCCCCUGGGCCUGCACUGACGCUCAUGCACGAAAGCGUGGGGAGCAAACAGG